Molecule: long non-coding RNA, 558 nt
Organism: Alexandromys fortis (reed vole)
Lineage: Eukaryota; Metazoa; Chordata; Mammalia; Rodentia; Cricetidae
Exons: 4
Source: RefSeq, a predicted model, not a curated record
CAAAAUUGCUAGCUCACAAACAAAUGGGAUGAGAGGGGAACCAAGUUGCUCCGUGUAAAGAACCUGUGGCAGAGCCAGGUGAAAAUGAGGGCCUGGAUCCACAACCUGCAAAGGGAUCCUGUAAAUCCACAAGGCAGAAAGUGGACAAGAGGACCACCAUGACCCCAGAGAUGAUCCAUCUAUCUCCAAGAGCAAAAUAGAAACAUCAUUUGAAGCCAGAGCUGAUUUCCACACCCAGACUGGCCCCUCCCCGGGUCAGAUGGGCGCCUUCCUUAAGUAGAGGAGUUCAUGGACGCUUUGGCCGCGACUCCUGCCGGGAACAUGGUGGAGGGCCCGUGGCUCCCCUCGGAGCAUCAGAAAAUAUGUGACCGUUGGCAGCUGGUUCGUGUAGAGUCCCCGGUCCCACUGAGCCUCGAGGACUGUGACUAUCUUGUGCACCUGUUGCCCACAGGGCCUGGAACAGCGAAAAACAAAUAGACAAAUAAAACAAAAAAACCAAAACAACAAGAACAAAAAACAUGGGGAUGUUAGAAUGGAAGAGAUGAUGCAUGCCACACG